Molecule: ribosomal RNA, 497 nt
Filed under: uncultured bacterium
Lineage: Bacteria
Description: partial 16S ribosomal RNA
Rfam family: Bacterial small subunit ribosomal RNA
Source: RNAcentral
GAUGAACGCUGGCGGCGUGCCUAACACAUGCAAGUCGAGCGAAAAGAUGAUGAGCUUGCUCCUCUGACGGUAGCGGCUGACGGGUGAGUAACACGUGGAUAACCUACCUAUAAGACGGGGAUGAUCUCGGGAAGAAGCAUCUGAUACCGCAGAAUAUAUCGUACCGCAGGGAGCAAUAGUUAAAGACGCCUUUCCCGUCACAAAGAGAUGGAGUCGCGCCGGAUUAGUUAGUUGGUAAGGGAACGGCCAACCAAGGCAACGAUGCGUAGCUGAGCUGAGAGGCUGAUCGGCCACACUGGAACUGAGACACGGUCCAGACUCCUACGGGAGGCAGCAGUAGGGAAUAUUGCACAAUGGGCGCAAGCCUGACCCAGCAAUGCCGCGUGGGUGAAGAAGGUCUUCGGGUCGUAAAACUCUGUUAUUGGGAAAGAACAGAUGUAUAUGUAUACAUCGCCGUCCUGACGGUACCUAAACAAUAAGCACCGGCUAACUUCGUG